RNAcentral lists this long non-coding RNA (2372 nucleotides) under Nicotiana tabacum (common tobacco). RNAcentral describes it as "long non-coding RNA (NTAB_LNC001230)". Lineage: Eukaryota; Viridiplantae; Streptophyta; Magnoliopsida; Solanales; Solanaceae. The record is from RNAcentral.
AGUAUGCUACGUAUGAUUUGCAAGGCAUGAAAAGAAAUGUGUUUGUACUAUUAUUCACAAGGGAAAUUUAUAACUAGGGGGGUCAAACUGCUGGUUUAACGCCCAGGCCCAUUCACCUAGUCCCAGACUUGCUCAGGUAAUUCCAGAUUGGGCCUUAUUACAAGUCUGGCCCAAGUUGUAUUCAAACAGUUCUGCAAUAAUGGGGCUAUGCUUAUUACAAAGUAAAUCAUCCUGUUAUGAACCUAAACUAGUAGCCGUACAUAAUCAAGCUCUAAUUUAAGGCAUUCUAACAGUCCAUCUGACAGUCCGUAAAUUACAACAUACUCCUAACUACAACCAAGUAUAUAAAGAAGAAAAGAAAGGAAAAUUUUAAAGUAUAGAACAAUAUUUUUCCUAACUUCGGGCCUUUCAAAUGUUACCAAAUCCUUCAAGCCAGCUUCAACUUGCAUGAAAUCAGCUAUAGAGUUGUUUCUCACAGGCCAACAUUUGAUUCCAGCCAUGAGGUUUCUUUGCCUUAUUGCCACUCACACACAAACAUCAGAAAUAAAAGGGAAAUUUCAGUAGUUGUGAAGAAUCUAUUUAACAAUGUAUUAUCAAGUAAAAAAAAAAAGCAAAGCAGGCAGAAAAAACAGUUGAACAACUUCAAAAGUCAAGGUUCAGUUUUAGUAUAAGUCAGAAAUAGACUCAUAGGUAUAUAUAAAAUAGACACACUAGUUCAAACAAUCACAUAGUAGAUCCAUAGACUUUUACUCUUUUCAUGUCAAACAUCAAUUAACAGAAGAAAACCUCAAAAGUUUAAAUGAAACAAAGUUUACUAAUUAACAUGUUAAAUGUGAAGGAAUCAACAAAUGAUAAGAGAUGAUCAAAAAACUUCAUAGAACAGAUGAAAGCUAUCAACUUAUUCAUGCCAAAAAUUAAGUAUUAGAUUUAAGGCAAAUACCUGAUUACAGCAAAAUAGACUAUACCAAGAAAAAUAGGUCUCUUAAAUAGCAAAAAACCAGCCACAAAAUAAGUGAACAGUUGAUUGAAUAUUAAAGAUGGAGCAGCCACCAAAACCCAAACAAGCAGCAAUAAAACCACAGCCCAAAAAACCAAGAUCCAACCUCAAGCUUCCAAAAAAUCAGAGUGCUCGAAAAAGAUAACCUAAAAUCUAGCUAGAAAAACAUAAGUUUUUUAGGCCAGAGAAAGUUUCAAAUGUUUUCUUUGCAUUCUAAAUUUUGGUCUAACUGUGAUGAUUCGUGUAUAUGUGAAUGAGUGAAGAAAAGGUAACAUAUAUAGGCACAAAAAAUGUCAUGUGCUGAAAGAAUAAAGGAAUCAUUCCAUCAACCACAAAAGGCAUAUUUAACAUAGUUGGAUAGUUGACUAUCCCUAAUUGGUUUCAGUACUUUUGUACUAACCAAAUGAGGCUAGUUGCCCCCUAUUCUAGAACCUUCCAGCAUGGUCUUUAUCCCAUUUCAGAUUUAUCCACCCCUCAUGACCCCUUAAGUUUUUCUUUUGUUCAAAUAAACCCUUACAAUUUUAUAAUGAUGCGCAGAUCAAACAAACAUGGACUAGGCCAGCAAUUAACAAAAAUAAUGAUCAAUUAUGAUGAAAUCAGUAGGAACUUUAUGUAAUGAAACUACUAAAACAUGCCAAUUUACAAUAACACAAGCAAGAUGAAAAAAACACAUGAAGCUGGGGCGUUGAGAACCCUAAAUCAUGUGAACUAAAAUAUAGUGAAGAAGAGAAAAAGAAGAUUAACAGAAGACAUAACGAAAAAAACACCACAAAUGAUUUAAAACAAACAAAAUAACCAAAUUCUAUAGCCAUGAACUAAUAAUUAAACUAAAUAAACAUGAGCUUAAACCAAAUUAAAAACAAACAUAACGGCAGAACCUAAUUGAACAUGCAUAAAAAGUUACUGACUUGAAAAAAAAGAAAAAUAAUGGAGAAGACAGUGUGAGGCCUUACCAGAACAAACAUCAAAAAGAAAUUUGGACCAGGGUUCAUAAGAGGCUGGCUAGACUCUGGUCAUGCUUUGAAAUAGGUCCAAACAUACAAUAAGCAAUCGUUCUUGCUGAGAACGAUUAGUUAUUGUAAAUUUAGACCCAAGUUGUACCUUGAAGCUCAAAGGACCAGAAGAAAAAUAAAAAAAAAGGGGUAACCUCGGAUUUCUGGGGUCUCAGAUUCAAGGUUCGAGGAGAUUGGGACUGAUUCGAAAGGAAUUGUGGUGAUAUUUGGAGAGAGGAUGAGAAGGACAUUAUAGGGUGUUAUUCUGGUAGGGUUUGGAGAAACUCCGCCGCCGUAAAGCGAUUUCUGGGCGGCGGAGCCGACAAGAGAAUAGGGGUGGCUAGGGUUUCACAUUGGAGAGGGUUAGAGACGGAAUGAGAGGG